Molecule: long non-coding RNA, 37470 nt
Filed under: Populus trichocarpa (black cottonwood)
Lineage: Eukaryota; Viridiplantae; Streptophyta; Magnoliopsida; Malpighiales; Salicaceae
Description: long non-coding RNA (PTRI_LNC003142)
Source: RNAcentral
CCUCCCCCGAUUCCGCCCCUGGAGGGACAGAUUCAAUCAACCUGAUGUUAGAAAAUUCAAAUUCACUUGUUAUCAAAUAUUGGGAUUAAAGAAAACAUCAAGAACUAGAACAUGGAUGAGAUAAACUUGUUUGUUGGCGGAUGUAACCCAUGUUUUGCUUAGGCCUUGCAACAAGAUAAUGAUCAUUCUUCAUUUAGCAGCAGAGAUGAACAAAAACUGGAUUCAGAACUUGAAAGACACCCAGCACAUGACCGUAUCUCAAGUUUUCACCCAAAGCUCCAUUCACAUAGGAAGAUGAAUCCAGCCAGCAACCUAAAGGUGGCUGCCUAUCCAAAAUGCAUUAUAAGGUUUUAAAUUUUCCAUUAUAUUUCUCGACAAACUAAAACUGAUGUCACAACUUCAAGUCCGACACAAAUCUUGCUGCAUUAUGUAUAAAAAAGAAUGCCCCACUAGAGAAGUUAUAAAAAACUCCCAAUCCUGAAUUUCAUAGGCAGUUGAAUACCAGAUAAUUGCUGCAAUAGAAAAUAUUUUUCACCUUUUACCAGAAAUCAUGCAUCAUAAUUCAGCGCUGUCAUUAUCUUUAACCUCGGAGAAAGCAGGUGUUCCAUUAAGAGUCUGACCAUCACCUUCCAGAUCAAGUGCUCUGGCAUGGAAGUUUCCUUUUUUAGUACAAGGCUUUAAUUUAUCAUACAUAGCUGGAGAGAAGAGAAAAUGUUCCCUGACUAACUUCGAAAGCUCUUCUUCUCUUUCGACAACUCCCUGACCUUUUUAACCCUGAGGCAUGUAGUCAAUGCAUAAAAAUUUGGCUUCCAUCCUGGUUUACUUAUUGAAAUUGCUUUCUUUAAUGUUUCUGCUGCCUUCACCAUCUCACCACCAAAAAGAUAUCCAGUUACCAAAUGAUCCCAAGGGCUUGGAGGAAGCUCCAUCCCACUACAAUCUUUUUUACCAAUGGCUUAGCCUUUCGUCAAGGACCCCUAUUGGAAAAACCAGUAAUCAUCAAAUUUGGAAUUUGAAUGUCAAAGGACGUCUUCCUCGAUGCUCACUCUUUCCAAAUUUCCUCAGCACAAUCAAAGCCAUCCAACUUCAUCAAUGAGUUUAUCAUUCGUUGAUAGCCCGAGUUGAAAAACCCUCCUGUAUCCUUCUACUACUACCAUAAACGAUAUACUCCUACUCUAUUCCCAGCAGCACCAUAUCCUUGUAAGGAGAGCCUCAUAAGCAAGCUUUUUUGAGUUACCCCUUGUUUGGGUGAUUAAUUGCUCAGCUCUCUUCAACAAUGCAACAGUUUUCUCAAUUAGUCCAGCUUUCAGGUAACCAUUUGCCACAACAAAACAAGUAUUCCAGUCAAUGCUGAUGAGAGGAUCUGUUUCCAUCUUGUUCAGAAGUUUAUCCAUUUCCUCAAUGUUGGAAGAGGCUACAUAAGCAUUCAGCCUAAUGUUUAUACAUGUCACCAUUGAUUCUCUUUUCUUUCAUCUCUUUCACUAGAGCAUCUAAUUUCUCAUGCUUCCCCAUCUGAGAAUAGAGGCUUAGCAAUAAAAUUACAAGGUCGUGCCUGUACAAAUCCCAACUCCCUCAUCUUCUGCAUCAGGGCCUCUGCAUUUUCCAAGCACUUUUUGUGUGCGUGUCCAAAAGGGUACCAUAAACCUGGACACCCCUAAAACGAUCUGGAAUCGUUUUCCAAGCACUUGUUCCAUACCAUGAACUUUUGAAAUUAAGUCCAGCCGGACUGCAAAGACUCCAGUUGAUUGGUCAUAGCCCCUUUCAUCACUCAUCCAUUGUGAUAUCUAGCAUAAAAAUGAAAUGCAAGAUUCUUGAAAAAAUAACUACGAUUUUAAAAAUCNNNNNNNNNNNNNNNNNNNNNNNNNNNNNNNNNNNNNNNNNNNNNNNNNNNNNNNNNNNNNNNNNNNNNNNNNNNNNNNNNNNNNNNNNNNNNNNNNNNNGAACUUUUGAAAUUAAGUCCAGCCGGACUGCAAAGACUCCAGUUGAUUGGUCAUAGCCCCUUUCAUCACUCAUCCAUUGUGAUAUCUAGCAUAAAAUGAAAUGCAAGAUUCUUGAAAAAAUAACUACGAUUUUAAAAUCAUAUUUCACUGAUGAAGAAUAUCAUAUCUAAAAAUACAUAUGGUGAUUAAGUGCAACCACAACAAAUAUCAAAGAACCCUCAAUGCUAUAAGCCCAAAGGUUUGUAAAAUCCAACAAUUCAAACUAAAAGAGCAAGAAAAAAGAUACCCUUUAAGAAAAAAUGCGUGACUAGUACACAAAGAAUCAAACUUUAUACAAUUUGCAAGCAAACCCAAAAAUCCAACUUUAUGAAAUACCCGAAGGGCAUGAGAAAGACAUUUUUUUUUUUUACCAAAAAAACUCGUUUUAAACCUAUUUUUACCUAAAGACACUUAAUAAACAUCCUUACAAUGUCAAUAAACUAAAUUAUAAAUCAAAACACCCCUAAACUUAUAAGAAAAACACAAAAUCAAACUAGAAAAAAAAUCUUCACAAAAUCAAACCGGGAAAAGAAUCUUCUCCCACUCCCGAUCUAUGUUUUAUGGCAAGGAGAAGGGCAAAAAACGACUUAAUGAAAUUCCUCUCGUCGAAUGAAAUCUUUUGAUACCAAGACUAAUUUUUUUGUGGUUGAAAUGUGGCCAACUGAUGAUUUUCUUUGUCUUUGUCAUUAUCCGAUGACUUUUUCUUUUCUCUAUGAAACAGAGAAAUCGUAAAAUGACAAAUAAAGUUUUGAACCAAAACAACAAAGUGGAAAACUACAUGGACCAAAAACAGUUUUUGCCAAAUCUCUAGGGAAAGAAAUGUCAAAAAGACGCUGGACAAAUAAAAGAUUUAAAAAGAAAAUUCAAUUUUUUCCUCUUUUUUUGCCUCGUUCUCCAAUCUGAUCCCAAAUGCCAAGAAAGUCUUCUGAUACUGUAAUAAUUGAAAAUAAAUCAAAAUAAAUGACGAAACAACAAUUUUUCCAAGAAUAAAAUUGAAAAAAUAAUAAUUGAGGGACUGAAUUAAAAAACAUAAAAUUCCAAAGAAAAAAAAUUAUUGUCAUUCGUAGUGUUUUGUGGAAAAGUGUAAUGUGGAAAUGACAUGCCCUUUAGUUUUUAUUUAUUUAUUUAUUUAAAUUAAUUUUAAUAUGCUCAUGAAAUAUUCAUUGUCCUUAUUCCAAAAGGUGAAGGUUCCUCUUGCGUAUUUCAUGCCCAAAUGCAUCUAAGAAAAUCCCGCUAUAACCAUGUUGGGUCUAAAAUUUGAGUUAUCUCUGUAUAUGCAUAUGCGAGACAAAUCAAAUAUAGAAUUUUGAGCUCUCUAAAAAGUUAACGGAACUUCAUAAAAUUUAUCGUGAAGUUUUCAUUCCGUACAAGCCAAAUCAUGAAUUAGUAAUUACAUGUAAUCUCCAAAAAAAUCCCAAUUGUUAUUUCAAGCCUUCUCUUUCUUUUUUUAGAAUGGAAUAUUUACAGAAUCCCUAUAUAUAGAUCAAAUUUUAUUCCAUGGUAUUUACCUCUUUCUUAUUCUUAAACAAGUCUCCCAAGAGAGUUUGAUUUAUCCUUGAUUUAUAUUUCAAACUUAUGACCUCAAACUAAAAGAAUCUUCUUUCAUACCUUCUAAACCAAUUCUUUGGGACACAUACGUAACAACAUGCUUUCAGAAAUUACUCUGAAAUGGGAAUCCAUUUCAUGUUGGGGGUAAAUAAGAUGAUCCAAUUCUCAUCACUUCAAUCUAUAAUUCCAAAUAAAGCUAAUCUUCUACAGCUGAAAUUAGUAUUUUGCAUGUUUUAAAGGAAGUGUGUUAAAAAUUUACAAUCCCGAGAAUAGGUGGAGAGAACACAAUGCGUGCAGCAUAAAGAAGCAUGAAUGGAUUGGUCAGUGUUGUUUUAACUAAAUUCAGAAGCCAGCAAUUCCAGCAGAUGGCAUAGCUUCGAAUUGAGGAUCUUGGUUUAUGUACAGGUCUACAAAAGCAAGUCAAAUGACAGAUGUUGAAUAAAUUUAUAUUCAAAUGGUCAUUCCAAGGAAGGGCUGGCCUCAAUAUGCUCUACUUUCAUUAACAUGUGCGAGGAAGAUGGGUAAUAUUAUCCCUACUUCUAUGCUUGCACGCCAUAAUGACCACAACAAAAAAUGAAAAAACCAAGAUGAAACUUCACUUUCACAAAUGACAUACCAUUCUUUCGCAGUCAGUUUACUUCUCAAAACAUCAUAUUUCAGCACUAUCUUUGUCUUCGAACUCUGUGGCAGCAGGUGUUUCUCCAUUAAGAGCCUGGUCUUCACCUUCCAUAUGAUCAAGGGCUCUGGCACACAGGUUUUCUUUGUCAAUGAUACUGCUGUUUAACCUAUCAUAAGAAACUGAUGAUAGAUGACAAUGUUCCUUAAGUAUCUUCAGAGGGUCUUCUAUCUUUUUCACAUCUUCCCGACCUUUCAAAUACUCAAGACAUGCAGCCAAAGUAUACACAUUUGGCUUCCAACCUGGUUGACUUAUUGAAAUUGCUUUCUUUAUUGUUUCCGAUGCCUUCAGCAUCUGACCUCUUACAUGAUAUCCAGUUGCUAGACGAUCCAAUGUGCUUGCUUCAAUCUUGAUCCCACUCGCUACAAUCUUGCCUACAAAUGCCUCAGCCUUUUCCCAUAGGCCCUUUUUGGAAUAAGCACUGACCAUCACAUUUGGAAUUCGAAUAUCAAAAAAUUUCACAAUGGAAACCCACUCUUCCCAAAUCCUCUCAGCACCAUCAACAUCAUCCAACUUCAGUAAUGAGUUUAUCAUGCAAAGAUAGCUCGAGUUCAAGGACCUCCCUUUAGUCUUGUACAAAUUCCACACACGAUACACUUGUUCUUUAUUCCCAACAGCAGUAUAUAAAGAGAGAAGAGUUUCACAAGCAAACCUUGCUGACUUACCACUGAUUAGUUGUUCUGAUCUCCACAACAUUGUCAAAGUUUUAUCAAUGAGGCCAGCUUUCAAGUAACCAUUCGCUGCAACAACAUAAGCAUACCAGUCAAUGCUGACAAGAGGAUCUGCUUCCAUCUUCAUUAAAAUUUUCUUGAUUUCCUCAAUGUUGGAAGUGGCUACAUAAGCAUUCAACAAAAUCUUGUAUGUGAUAUUGCUAAAACAAAUGCCCCACUUUUCCAUCUCUUGCAUUAAUACCUGUAUUUUCUCAUAUUUCCCCAUCUGAUAAUAGAGGUUUAGCAUUACAUUAUAAGACAGCACAUUUCUUACAAACCCCAUCUCCCUCAUUUUUCGCAUUGUGGCCUCCGCUUCCUCCAAAUGCUUAUAGUGCGCAUAGCAGUUUAAAAGAGCACCAUAAACCUCCAAGCCUCUCAAACUCUCAGGAACGCUAUUAAAAUAUGUCACAGCUUGUUCCAAGCCAUGAACUUUCGAGAUUAAAUCCAGUCGAACUGCAACAUCUCCGGGUGAUAAAUUAUGCCCCCUUUGGUCACUCAUCCAUUGUGAUAUCUAACACAAAACAAAAUACUUAAACAAAUUCCAAGGGAACCAAAAAAUUUAGGAUGUUAUACUAAAUAUCAAACAUUUAGCUACUUGAUUAAGUGGAAAAAUCAGUUUCAAAAUACUACUAUAGCCUGCACAAAACUUUCAACUAAAGCUAUAAGGCUACUCAACGAUCUUUUCAACAAAAACUAAAACAAUUACCAAUUUGCAAUGAAACCCAGAAAUUCAAUAGCCAUAAAAGACAGAUUGAAUCUAUACAAAGCAUCAAAUGCAGAUUUAACAAUCAAUAACUAAAUGGGCACAAGCAAAAACACUAAAAUAAGUAGAUAAAAGAGAGAGGGACCUGAAGAGCGUGGCUAAAACGAUGGAUUUUACGGAGUUUUCUGAUGAAGUGUUUGAGGUCACUAUUUGUAACCACUUGGCCUUCUUGAACCCAUUUUUCUAUAACUGGAAUAACAGGGACCAUCGGAUCUUCCACCAUAGAGAUCCUACGGUUAAGAGAGUGGGAUAUAGCGGUUGUGUCUGUGGAAAAGCAAAGAGCCCUUAAAACUCCAUCAAUGUGAAGGCAUAAACUUGGGUUUGAUCGAACAAAGAGGUUCAUUUCAUGGAGCAAAAACAGAGAAAUCUUGGAGCUCUUGAGUUGUGGAAGGCUUUUGUUUUGUGGGUUUUAGAAAGGGUUUUAUUUGAGUAAAUUAUAUUGUAGUCCCUAUUCUAGAACACAUUAUGAAUUAGUCCUCCAUUUUGAAAACUCUAUAAUUUAAUUUAUUGACUCUUGCUUACUGUUGUCGUAUUUACAAUAUUUUGGUUUUCUUCUAAAUUCUUACCAUGUUGGUUUUUAUAUAUCAAUUAAAAUAAUAAAAAGGUACAUUUAGGAUUUAGAAAAAAAUAUAAUUUUAUUUUUUACAAGAGACUAAGAUAUAGCCUUAUAGGUUUAAAAAAGGAGUGAAUUGUAAUUGAAUUGACAAUCCAGGGCCCAAGAAAUCAAAACUAUAAAAAUACUUAAAAACAAGUCAAUUAAGUCCAAUCAUUAAAAUCUAAAAAAUAAUAAAAUUAUAUCAAAAUUAAUCAAAUUAUUAAAUCAUAGCCUUUAUAUAUAUGUAUAUGUAUGUAUGGAAUCAUUAGUUAUUGCCUUAAAUAUUAUCUUUGACUCUCUUAGAUGAAUAAAUAUUCAAAAAACAUUGUUAUUCCGUUGAACAGUAUGAAAUAAGGGACUAAUAUUUAUUUUUGUUAAUUUUUUAGAGUUUUAUCAAGAAUUUUCAAUUAUAUUACUAAAUAUCAGUAAUCAAAACAAAAAGAAUUAAGAAACAGUUUUAGAUUAUGAUUUAUCAAGAAAUAUUUUUUCUAACCAUUAAAUAUUUAAAGAAUCCAUGAAAAUUCGAUAAAAAAUAUUAAAUAUAUAGUACGAUAACAAGAAAACUAAUAAUCAAAUAUAUGUAAAGAAAAACAUAUAAGUCUAUAAAUGUAAUAAAACAUUUUAGUAUCUUGUUCAUUAAAAAAUAAUUCAUUAAUAAUUUCCAAUAAUGAGAAAAAGGAGAUAUAUAACAACAUGUUCAACUUUUUUUUCAUUAUUUUUAGUAAUUUUUCCUCGAUAGUAAUAUUAUUUAUUCAAAUAUUAUUCCUACAUAGCAUUUGAUUGGGUUCUAAACUCUUGGAAUUUUUCUUUAAUUUUUACUUUCGUUUUAAUAUUUUUAUAAAUUGAUAUACACUUGCAAUUUAGGUGUAAAAAACACUAGUGGAGUAAAGAUUUAACUUCCAAAGUUGCAGUGUGUCUCAUUCUUGAUACAGCACAAUCUGAGAAGCUUCUGAGCCUCUUGUUGUAGUGGAGCUUCUGUUUCAGGAGUCUUGCUCCAUAGCAAUGGUCAUGCUGAACUGGUGAGCAUCUCACAUGGCAAUAAUGACCUGUGUCAUUGUGUCGCAGAGUUGACAGACAUCAUGUCUCUCGCAGCGGUGGCGAGUCUAAAGCCAAGCUGAAGACCGCAGCACCUUUACGAAUUGCUCUAACCCAUGUUUUGCGUAGGCAUCCACCACAAGGUUACAGUUCAAAGCAUAACUUAGCAAACAAGUAGAUAAAGGAUUUUGCUGAUGAAAGCUUGUACAAAUCUUUCCAUUUUCCAGUUUAACCCAAUCCACUCGUUCGGAGAGCUAUUUAUUCUACAGCAGAUGUUCCCAGAAUACCUCUAGCGGAGAGGGUUUACUAUCAGCCUAUUUUGGAUAUUAAUCUAUCUGAUUCAGAAGGGAAGAACUCAGUAUUUCAAUUCCUGAUCAAGUUUGUGUCAAGAACUCGUUUCCUGAUCAAGUUCAACCAAGAGGGUAGACCAAAAAAUAUAUGUGCAUUAUAAUCUUAAACUUGGUUCAGAUAUUUAUCAUAGUGAUCUUGACGAACUUCGACAUUUAUCACAUUCUCUUGCUGGGAUAUGUACAAGAGCAUGUCAAGCCACAGAAGUUAAGAAGGAGACCUCAGCUACAAAGCUAAUAAGCGAGUUGUUUGACAACAGAUUAUUUUCUCUGUUUUGUUUUUGAUAAAUCAAAAUUCAGAAAUGAAUGUACUCAAAAUCCAAAUUCAAUACAUGUCUUUAAUUCAUCAUAAAUAGCUGGUUCGAAAUGACAAUGCUCCAUGACUAACUUGGAAAGCUCUUCUGCUGCUUCCCACAACUCCCUGGCAUUUCAGACAUGCAGCUAAAGCCUUAGUAUUCGGCUUCCAUUCUGGUGUACUUAUUGAAAUUGCUUUCUUCAUUGUUUCGGCUGCUUUCACCAUCUGACCAGCAACACAGUAUCCAGCUGCUAAAUGAACAAAUGAGUCUGCAUUGAGCUCCAUCCCACUACUCUCUACUAUCCUUACAAAUGCCUCAUCCUUUUCCCAAAGACCCUUCUUUGAAUAACCAGCAAUCAUUGCAUAAACCAUGUCUUCAUUGAUAACCACUCCUCCCAAACCUCCUCAGCAACAUCUUUGCCAUCUGACUUCAUCAAUAAGCUUAUCAUAUGUAGAUAGCUUGAAUUAUUAAAACCAGCUGAGUUCUUAAAGAAAUUCCUAAAACGAUAUAGUUCAUCCUUACUGCCAGUACCAGCAUACAAUGAGAGGAGAUUCUUAUAAGCAUAUCUUCUCUCAUUAAACUUGAUUAAUUGUUCUGAUUGCUUCAACAUUGUCGAAGUUUUUUCAGUAAAGCUAGCUUUCAAGUAACCCUUCGCUGCAGAAACACAAACUUUCCAGUUGAUCCGAGAAUCUCUUUCCAUUUUCAUCAGAAGUUUCUCCAUUUUCUCAAUAUUGGAAGAAACUGCCCUUGUCUUCCAUCUCCUGCAUCAGAAUAUGUACAUCCUCAUAUUUUCCAAUCUUGGAAUAGAGGCUUAGCAUCCAAUUGUAAGACAAUGCUUUUGCUAACCCUAGUUCCUUCAUUGUCUGCAUCAUGGCCUCUGCUUUUUCCAAAUGCUUAUGGUCCACAUAGUAGUUUAAAAGAGUAUCGCAAAGGUGCAUUCUCCGAUGGUAAGGAAGGCUGUAAAAAUAUUUUUCUGCUUCUUCUAAGCCAUGGAUUUUAGUAUUAAGUCCAGCUGAACCAACAUUUCCCCCACUGUUUGUUCAUAGCCUCUUUGCCUCAUCCUUUCUGAUAUCUAACACAAAAAUGGGAUUUAAGUGUUCCAGUUACAUAGUCACAUUUCUCUGAUCAGGGUUCAUAUAUUCAAGUUGAUCGAUUCCCUCCUACACUUAGAUUCACAUCUAUAAUUCUAACACAUCAGUAUUUAAAACUAGUGGUAUUUUCUUCCUUUCACAUCCAUGUCUGUCCAUUUUCAUAUGGGGAAUGCUAGCGAUGCCGAAGCAUCAGGCCAUGUAGAUUGGUAAAUAGUUUCUACUGUUUCUGCCUUAUCAUUUUCAUAUUCUAUUUCAAGAUAAAUAUCAAACCUUUAAGUAUAUAUCCACUAAAAACAAAAUCCUCUUCACUUCACAAUGGAGCUAAGCACACAAGAAAACCAAAGAGGACCAAGUUUAAGAAAACCACAAGAAAACCAAAGAGGACCAAGUUUAAGAAAACCACAAGAACAACACUGGGCAGUCAUGAAUCAUGAUCAAGACCAACAAAGUACAUCAUAUUCAACCAAUCCAUAAGAAAGGUUGCAGAAAAAAAAUCCAAAACCAGAAUGAGCCGAGAUAUUUCAGGAUUAUGAAAAAAAUAGCUGACAAAAAACUCAGUUUUCUUGGAACCCAGCAACCAAAAAUCAUUGCCACCUUCAACCACCAAACGCCAAUUGAAUUUUCCCUGUAUUUCCCUUUUGAACCAAUCAAGUGUUGUCAUACAUGCAUAAUGCAAAAUAAUGAGUUUAUAUGCGAACAGGUGCAUGUCUCUCUCUGUUUUUUUUUUCUUUUUUCUUUCAUUUUUUAAAUAUAAUUGAAGUGUUCAAGUAUUAUUAUAUCCACGUUCGAGGUCAAAUGUUUCAAGGCUGAUUUAUGGUCUUUUGGUGUUACUGCAUUGGAAUUAGCCCAUGGUCGACCUCCUUUGUCUCAUUUUCCUCCUUCGAAGUCUUUGGUCAUGAAGAUAAAGCAGAGGUUUGGGUUCUCUGAUUAUGAUGAUGAGAAGCAAAAGAAAGAUUUCAAGAACAAGAACUUCUCCAUAGGUUUAACAUGGUUGCUUCUUGUCUUGAUCAAGACCCUUCAAAAAGACCUACUGGUCAACUUUUAGAGUAUUCUUUCUUCAGGACCUGUGAAGGAUUAGGCUUUUUGUUCAAGAACGUUUUCGAUGGGUUGCCUAAUGCUGAAGAAAGAUUCAAAGAAACCAAACAUUAUGGGACAUCAAGCCAGAUUACUGCUGGUGCUGAUAUUGAAGAAGAAGAAGAGGGUACUACCUCAGCGGCUCCGGUUGAACAAAGGAUCAGUGGCUGGAAAUUUAAUGAGGAUGGAUUCGUGCUUGACCCAGUAUUCCAUAAUGAGUCAGAAGAUGAUCAAGUUGUGAAAGUGGUUCGUUUUAGAGGUGAAACCAUUAUUCCUAAGCUGGACAUAGAAUUCAGUAAGUCGUCAGGUGACUUGGAGGGUUUAGUGGGAGAUCAGACUGGUGCAAACAUGAGUGGAAUACAGGGAAUUACUGAGGGUUUAGUGGCUCUCAAGAAGAGUUUGGAUGAGCAGAGGAAGCGACUAGUAAGUUUUUUAAAAAUGAAUAGGUUUAACUCUCAAGUGCAUCACUCAAGCUGUUAGUUAUAGACUUUGCAAAACUGAAAUUCUAGAGAAUUUUGUUCAGAAUCCUAGAUAUCAUUUGAUCUUUGCAGCAAUUGGUGUCUGAUGGGCUCUUAGCUUUGCAAUAGGCCUUGGCCUUACCAGGUCCUGUGCAAGAUAUGAAAGGUAGAGAUGGCAGAAACUGUAAAGAAGUAAUGAAGCUGUUCAAAUAGGAAGUACAAACUACAAAGAAAUGAAACUACAAUAAUUUCUAAUCAAGAAAAAGAAAAUUAGAAAGCUCUUUUGAAAAGGAAUAGAAGUCCUUUGUUAGCCAUCAUCACUUUAAUCAAUGUUGGCCAUCAUCACAAGAAACUUGGAAUGUUGUUUCGAAAAAGAAAUUCCUGCCCAAUACCAUAAAACGAAGGUUCUUCAAGCUUAAAAUCACGUUAUUUUCUUUUGUCUCAACCCUAGCUCAACUUAUUGUAUAUUUUCAUGGGAAAACAAGGCAUACACCAAGACAGAGAAGAUCAAGGACAAGAAGACACUAUCUGCUUCUUUAGAUCAUCGACAUGCAUGCUUCUCUUGGAAAAUUUGUCAAAACUAUUAAUUAUGCCUCACAAGGGAAAAAUAAUGGUGAAAAAAGGUUUCAUAAUUAAGAAUGAUGAGUUCCCUCACUCUAGAAAAUACCGAAAGCCAGUGGCUACAUGUGAGACAGUUGAUGGCAUGUUGGGUCAAAGUUCCUUGUUUUCUCAAGAAGAGGCUUGCAGCUUCAGGGCUAGAUUCAUUUAACAUAUGCAGGUUUAUCAAUUCAUCUUCUUUCCUUUGGAAUGCAAAAGUUUGACACAAGCUAAGAUAAAUAUUUAGUAACUAGUUCAUGGGAUAAACCUUGCGUUAAUAUUUGUUUAGCAUUCUGGUUAACGGGUGAGUAAGAAUACUCAGAUGAAUAUUCUAAUAUCCAGAUGCCUUUCCUUUAUCUUCAGAGUCUCUAGAUGAUCAGUGCCAAGAAGCUCAUUGAAUUGUGAGGGAAACGGCUGAAGCAUUGCUGCUACUUAGUGAAGAAGGAUCAAAUUAUUGCCACAGAAUUAGUUGUAUAGAGUCAGAAAAUCGCAGCACAUGGCAUCAGAAAAUGCUGAGAAGAGUCAAUUCGUUGUGUAUAACAUUAUAUUCCUGAUAAAGAAAAAAAAAACGCCUGGUAAUUCUGUUAGGUAGUGUUUUGUAUGCUGAAUAAAGAUGAAUUGAAUGUGAAAUUUUUUUUGUGAAGUUUUUUGAUAGUAUAUCUUAAGGUUGUUCUAGUAAAGAUAAACUUCUCCACUUCUCAAAUCAUGAGUUAUUAUUUACAAAAUAACUAUAUUGGUCUUUAAAUAAAAUCAAUUUUUUUAAAAAAAAAGAUCAAAACAAGAAAAAAAAUCCAAAAAAAUCAACGGAUUUUUGAUGGAUUUAACCUAAAAUGCAUGUCAACUCAAGUUUUUCUAGGUCAAUUCAGAUUAAUUAUUUCUUUAUUUAUUUUUAACUUAAACCUCUGUUAUUAACCUAUAUGAGUGGUGACUCGACUCGGGAGUCGACUAGGGACAAUGCUCGGGUCAUGGGUUGGGAGAGUCAACAUAGAUUUUUCUGGAUUAACAUAACGAUAAAAGUGAUUAUUAUCAUUGUUUUAAAACCUGAAUUGAAGAUUGUCCUGGGACAUGACCUAAGUCACGAGUCAUGUUGACUGAUAAACUGGGUCAAUGUAAGGAUAAAAGUGGUUGUUAUCAUAGUUUUAAAACCCGAUUCGAGGGUUGACUCUGGGCAAGGCUUGAGUCAAGAAUCGGGAGGGUCAACUAGAGUUAAGCCGAGUUAAUAUGGAUCGAUGUAAGGAUAAAAAUGAUUAUUAUAAUAGUUUUAAAACCCGACUAGGGGUAGAGAGGGUCAACCCGGAUUGACUUGGGUUAAGUUAAGAAUAAAAUUUUUUUUUAUUAUAGUUUUAAAACCUAACGCGGGAGUUGACCUAGGUCACAGGUUGGGAGGGUCAACCCCGAGUUGACCCAAUGUUUUCUUCAAAAAAAAAAUCAAAGCAACCUCAAUUUACAAGUGAAAAAAAAAUCAAAAAGAGAUUAAUGGAUUUUGACCCAUGUUUUAUCCCAAGUCAACUGAGUCGCAGGUCGACCUGAGUUUUUUACUGGGUCAAGUCGGAUCAAUCUUUCCUCUAAUUUUUGUUAAACCUAGACCAAUCGGGGUCAUGGGUUUGUCGAGUCCAUGGUCGACCCGCUAAGUCAGUCCGCUUACUAGGUCAGUUCGGGUUUUAUAACUAGAGUUAUUAUAAUAUUAUUAAUUUUAACACUUAAUAUAAACUAAAGUGAAAAUAAUAAUAUCUAAUUAUAUUUUAAAAUAUAUAAGUUUGACAAUAAUAAUAAAAAAAUAUAUAUUUUUAUUUUACCUUAACCUUAUAUUUAAAUACUUUUUUAGGUUUUGAUUUAGAAAACAAUAUAUAUUAUAAUUUACACUUUAAACAUUAAACAAAAUAGGAGUAUUAUUGUCAUUUGUCUCUCAAUAAUAAAAUAAAAUAAAUUAUUCAGUCUAAUCCAAUAUACACCAAAAACAAUCUUGUUCAAUGCCUACUAACCACAGCACAAGAUAAAUUAUUCAAUUCAAUGCACUCCAAGCACAAGGCAUGUCUGGUAUUUAUCCAAUCUGAUCUAUUCUAAUUAAUAUUAUCCAGCAUAUCAAAUCCUACCUUAAAUUAUCUUAACAGAGAAAUUGUUAGAGCUAUACAGUAUACUGCCUUUAUGGAAUAUACUGCCACCAUGAUCCGGCAGAAUGUGGCUAAAGAUGUAGAGAAAACAUUGCCGAAGAUUGUUGCUAGCAGUAGAUGCUCAUCAUCUUUGUAUUUUCAUUAAAAAGUUAGAAAUCAACUUCUGUCAAUUUGUGGCUUUCUCAGAUACAUUACUUUGCUAACACAAUAACAACACACCCAUAUUUUCAGGCAUUUCUCCAUGAUUUAGCACGUCCCUCCUCUGCCACUGUCAAUCUCUGUUGCAAGAUAUAAAAACAAUGUACACCCUUCUUCGGCUAUCAGACUAUACAAUUUAGCACUUUCCUUCUCUUCGACAUCCAUAUUCUCAGGCAUUUCUCCAUUAAGAGUCUGACCAUCACCUUCCAUCUGAUCAAGCGCUCUGGUGUCCAUGAAUAUGUCAUUAAGAGUCUGAAGUUUUUUGAAGAUGCAUUUUACUCCGGUUCAACAAUGGAUGGAAAUAGCAUCUAUUUACUUAGAAGGGAAGGCUGAUAUCUGUUUUGAAGAAUUCAUAUUGGGAAGUAAUUACUUGGCCAAAAGAAUUCUAAAUAACUAGAUUUAUAUUAUACUUGGAUUACUAGAAAGAUAUCAUUGAUCAUGAUUUUUUGAAGUAUUACUGGAGUCAUUUUGAACUAUAAUAGAUGGGAUCGAGUUUCUCCAAUCUCGGAAAAAUUAGUGAUAACAUCAGACCCAAAAUAUUGUUUAUGUAUUUAUAUGAUCAUAGAUAAUAAAAGUAGCCCAAACUAUUGAGAGAUUUAAUUUUAAUUUAUGUUUUUUUUUUAUUUAUUUGAAUUUUUAUUUAAAGUUUCUUAAUUAGACUUUGGAUCCGUUUAUUUUUGCCUUUCAAAGAAGCUUUUGAAAAAAGUUAAUUUUUUUUUUUUUGCUUCAAAUUAUUUUUUUAAUGUUUUUAGAUUGUUUAAUUUAAUGUAUUGAUAUUAAAAAUAAAUUUUAAAAAAUAAAAAAAAUAUUUUAACACUUCCAAAUAAAAAAACACUUUGAAAAACAACCGCUACCAUAAUAACAAACAAACAUUUUAUUUAUUGGGCUUGAUUUAAUUAUUGUUAGGUAUUAUAUUUAUUAAACUAUAAAUCUAAUUAUUUGUUCUAGAUAGAGUUUUAAUAUUUAUAUUCUAUUUUUCUAAAUGUUAGAUAAUUUUUAAUGAUUUAAUUAAAAUAACAUACCAUUCCUCCUCUAAAUUCUCUCUUCUUCCUAGCUUUUCCUUCCACUGUUUUAAUUCUUGACUUCUUUCUUUCUUUGCUUUUAGUUUUUUUUUUCUGCAUCACUUCUAGUCUCUUUUUUAUUUUGGGCAGAAGUUUUAAGCAAUAUGAAAUAGAGGGUAUAAACAAAUAAAACGAUCAUCAUGUACAGGACCUCAAUUCCAAUCCCAUACAAAAAGAUGAACUUAGCAAUCCAAAACAAGUUGCUUGUCCAGAAGGUAAUCGUUCAAGGUGUGAUCCUAAUGCAUUAUACUGUCAGAUCGUCUAUCUAAAGCCCCAGGGUCUUUGAUUACACCUUUAAAAUUAACCUGUCCAGUGAGUUGUAGGAUGCUAUAAACUUGGCAACUGAUUUUCGUGAUCAAAGCCCCAAGUAUCUUUUUGUGUUUCUUCGUCAACAGCAAAACCAUCCAUUUUCAUCUGAUAAAGAACAUCGUUAACUGAUUUUCCGGCUGCCAUAGAGUUCCUAGUUUUUCACCAACCGGGUGAAUUCUUUCAUCUCUUCAGCAUCUCCCUGACCUUCCAAGUACUCCAAACAGGUAUUCACAAGGAUGGGAUCUGGUUUCCAGUCUCUUCCAACAUUGACGGCUCUCUUCAACAUCUCAACAGUCUUGGGGAUUUGAUCAUGUUCCAUAUACCCCUUUGCCAUUACAUGCCAUGUGCUCGCAUAAGGUGUUCUUCCUUGCACUGCCUUUUCUAUGGCUGCUUCAGCCUUCUCAAAAAGUCCCCUAUUGCAAUAAGCAACAAGAAGCCCAUUCAAUACACGGAAGUCAUACGUGGUGGUGCACUGGGACUCCCACUCUUCAAAGAUCUUUUCUGCUCCCUCAAUAUCAUCCAGCUUCGUAAGAGAGUCAAUCAUGCAACAAUAUGAUGUAUCCAUGGAUUCACUCGAGGGCUUGUACAAAUUCCAAAUUCGAUAAAGCUCAUCCUUAUUCCCUGUUUUUGCAUAGAGACUCAAAAGAAAAUUAAAUACUGCUUUCUUCUUUCUGAAGGCCAUCCAUUUCUCCAGCUUCUCCAACAUUGUCAAAGCUGUUUCAAUGGACCCAAUCUUCAGAUACGCAUCAGCAGCCAUUGCAUACAAUUUCCAAUCUAGACCAAGCUCCGGAUUCUCCUCCAUCAAUUUCAAGAUUCUUUCCACUCCGGAAAUGUCAGAUGCAGCAACUGAAGCAGCAAUUAGAUUUCUCAGUGUAUAUUUAUCUUCAGCAAUUCCAUUCCUUUCCAUUUCCUUCAUCAAUGGGGGGAUUUUGUCAAAGUCUCCGGUUUGAGAGUAAAGGAUGAUCAAGAUGUUGUACGGAAAAGAUGAUGUUGUCAUGCCCCCUUCUCUCAUUUCCUGCAUAACUGCUUCUGCUUUCUGCACAGAUUUCUCUCGCACACAGCCAUUAAGAAUAGCACCAUAUGUGUACUUAGUUUUUAACUUAACCGAAAGUUUAUUAAAGUAGUUCUCGGCCUCCUCUAAUCCACGAACUCUAUGAAUUAAUCCCAAUCUGACUGCUGCAUCUUCCGUUGUAAAUGUAAAGAACCGCCGGGCUGUCAUCCAUUCUGAUACCUGAAUUAAUCAUGCUCUCUAUCAAGUUCCAAUUUUACAGGAAGCAUGUACAUUAAACUCAUCAAAUUACAACUACACUGCCCAACACAAAGGUGCAUCUAACCAUAUCUUGAAUCAUGAUAUGGUCCAAGCUUCAUCAUGACAAAAAUAAUUGGCCUCGUGCUGACUUGCUAAUUAUAUAUCAGAUCUUAAUUAUGCCUCGUGCUGACUUGCUAAUUAUAUAUCAGAUCUUAAUUAUCUUAUCUCUUAAGACUAGAUAUAUGAAAAAUUCUCAAACUUUUGAAUCAUAUUGAGACUGACACAAAUCCAAUAAAUGACAUGUCGUCCAAAAGCUGAAACUUUACCCCAAAUUCAGUUCCACCAUAAAUAAUUCAACAAGUUCCCACAACAAUCUCUAUAUUUUACUCAAAGGGUACACAUAAAACAAUCUAAUGAGCAAAAAGAAGUCAAAAAAUGAUGGGGAUUGAGAAAUAAAGACCUCUAAAGCAUGUUUGAACCGUUUAUAAUCUUUCAUGAGACGAACCAAGGACACAAGAUGGUGUUUGUCAACAGUGUUGCCUUCUUUGACCCAUUGAUCAAGCACCGGUACGAUGGAGACCCUGGGGUCUCUUAUGGCUUCAAUUCUUCUGCAUAAUGUAGUAGAGUGUGAAGAAGAUAAUGGUUUGGUUGGGGUUUUAGUAGAGAAGAAUAAAGAAGCUAAAACCCUUGUGGAGGAGAUGGAGAAUUGAUAGUUUUGAGGAAGUAAAGAAAAUAAUUUUCUAGAGAAAUGAAGAUUCAUUAUUAUUUCUCUGAGUGAAUGUGUUUGAAAGAAUUGAUGUUUGUGUAAGGGCAAGGGAAUAAAUGGAAAUAGAGACAGGGAUUUAACUUAGGGUUUAAGGCUAGGAAGAAAACCAAUUUGGUUUGGUUUAUGCCAUCAAAACUCUGGAUUUAUCGUAUAUUUGAGGGUUGUGUUCUUGGCAUUUUAUUAAUGUGGUCCCUGUAUUAUUUUAGUUUUAUUUAGUUGGUCCCUUUACUUAAAAACAUUUCUACUGUGUAUUGUACUCUCUAACUAAUUCCUGCGUAUUUUACGGCUAAUUCUUAUCAACGAGCCCGACAUUAUCGAUCUAGUUACAUGUCUGGUUUUUUUUUUUUUAACAUGUUAUUAACAGUGAAUUAAAUGGAAAUUUGAAGAAAAAAAAUCACACCAAGAAACUUUCUUUAAAAGAAGGGACAAUUAAUUAAUAAUAAUAAUAAAGUUUUUCUAGGUGAAAGAGUCAUGAGGCGGAGGUUAAGACUAAGAAGAUAUUUAACAUUGUGUUUUUAUCUAUAAUUGAGUGCAUUUUAAAAUGUAUUUGGUAUAGAAAACAUCAAAUUAAUGAUAUUUUAGUAUAUUUUUUAUUAUUUUAAUGUAUUUAUGUCAAAAAUAAAAAAAAAUUUAAAAAUUAUUAUUAUAUAUUUUCAAGCAAAAAUUAUUUUUAAAAAAUAUCAUACAUCACAAUACCAAAUAUAUUAAUAUUAAAUUGAGAUAUUCCCGUCUCCUAUUUUGACAUAUAUUUGUACAUGGAGUUAUUGAAUCUCACUUAGUGCGGCAUAUAAUUUAAAUCGGGUACAGUUUUAUUUUAAAUCAUUUUGAAUAUUGAUCUAGUUAUAUUUUAAAUGAUCUAAUAGGUUAAUCUGAUCAAACUCAAGUGAGAUCUGACUAGAUUAACUUUAAGAAAUUAAAAAAAUAAAAACUAGAAACAAAAUCUUUUGAGAUAAAAUAUUAACUUGGUAAUUCAUGAGUUAAAUUAGUUUAAUUUAAUAACAUUAUAAUACAAAGUUAUUAAAUCUGAUUGGACUAAGUCUCCGGUUAACGGAUCACUGAAUUGACCCAUCAAGGGUUUAAUAUAUCAUGGAUUCAUCUAUGUCAUUGGUGGAUAUCUGGGUAUCAAAAAUAUUGAUAUUUAUUACCAUAAUAUAUAUUACAGGUUCCCAUUUCUAUCACACUAGUACAGCUCUUGAGCAAACAUAUGCAUAGAAAAUAAACGAGGAAAAUGUUUCAAAGAGAUAACCAUAUUAUUCAUUGUCAAUGCUAUUCUACUCCGCCUUGAACCGUACUCUUCAUUUGCCAAUGUAAUGGACUCAAGCACCUGCAGAAUGCAGCAGCACAGAAUUAGAAAUAUUCAUUAAUAAUCUUAAUUUCUUCGGGAGUUACACUAUAAUAAUAGAAAUUUACCUUCGCGUAAUGAAACGUUUUCAAGCUGUCCACGGAUCCUGGUUCCAGAAAGGAUGUCCCUAAUUCGAUGCAAUUCGGCCACAACAAUGCUCAUAUCCAUCCUCUCUCGUGGCAACUCUACAGAACAAGCAACUCCUAUCUUGAUAAUUGAAAUCAGACAUUCGAGGAUUUUUCCAGUUUCAAUAUGGUUCAUCCUAUGAGAGGAAUGGAUACUCCUUUCCACAUCUUCUCGGAGAAGUAUUGGUUCCACGACCUCCGAAACUCGGCCAUGCAAUGCCAUUUCAGCAUAAUUGUGAAGGUUCAGCCCAUCUUUAAACAUGCCUUCUGUAGGUCUUUUUCCUGUAAACAUCUCCAACAACAAGAUGCCAAAGCUGUACACAUCCCCGUAAGUUGACACAUCGCUGCCCACACCAUACUCUGCAAAAUUCAUAUGAACGAUGCAAAUAGUUGUUUACGGCCUUAGCUUAGAUCAUAAACUGAGAAAAUAGAACUAGACACUAAUGAAAAUACUUUUAAUCGCACCUGGUGCUGCAUAGCCGAUGGUGCCUUUCAAGCCAACGGAGCUGGUCUGUCCCGAAGAUAAUUGAUGGGAAACUUCUGGACGAAGCCUUGCUAAUCCGAAGUCCCCAACACAAGCAGUCAUUUCAGCAUUUAAAAGAACAUUGCUGGGCUUCAAAUCACAAUGGACAAUAGGUGUUGAUCCGCAGUGUUGGUGCAAAUAGUUGAGCGCAUUAGCCACAUCGAUUGAAAUAUUUAACCUCUGAAUGAGAUUCAAACUUCUCAGCUCUUGUGCGUUGUUUGGCUGAUGAAUUGGAUGCAACCAUUCUUCUAGACUUCCAUUGACCAUGAGCUCGUAAACUAUAGCCUUAAAAUCAUUUCCUUGAAAAUCAAUGCUAGAGCAUGCACUUACUACUCUAACAAGAUUUCGAUGCCUGAUGUUUACCAAGGCUGCGCAUUCUGCCAUGAAACUCCUGGAAGCUCCUUUGCGUAAAAGGUUAAGUACCUUCACUGCAACAGCCAUUCCAUCCGGAGGAAGGAUUCCUCUGUAGACUGAACCAAAACUGCCAACACCGAUUGAAUUGGCCGAAGAGAAUUCAUUAGUUGCUAGAAGGAGAUCUUGGUAGGCUACUCUCCUAAAUGGUAUCCCCCAUGUAGAUGUACUAGAAGCCUGCAUAUCUUUUGUUUUUCUAAAGAAAUAGAAAAGCAUGGAAGAGACCAACAAGAUUACCACAAGCAAGCCCCCAGACAUUGCGACGAUCAAUAUCUUAGUGGAAGAUUUCAGCUUUGCCGACUCAUUGGUUGUGCAUCUGGACAGAUUCAACUGAGGUAUACCUCCACAGAGCUUCUUGUUUCCUGCAAUGGAAAUUACACUUGUAUUGCCAAAGACACCUUGCACGGGCACCUGACCUUCAAGGUCGUUAAAUGACAGAUCCAGACUUUCUAACAACUUUAAGUCUCCCAAAAACUUGGGAAUUUGGCCACUUAAGUUGUUGUAAGAGAGAUCAAGAACUUUAAGUGCUCUCAAAGAACUCAGAGACUCAGGAAUGGACCCUUUGAAAAAAUUACCCUUCAAACUCAAAAGCUCUAAACUCGCGCAACUACCAAGACUACGGGGAAUCUCACCGGAUAACCUAUUUUUAGAAACAUCUAUCUCACCAAGAUGCACCAGAUUACCCACUUCCAAGGGAAGAGAACCUGUCAGAUGAUUUUCAGAUAGGUUUAAGGAAACAGUUCCUAAAGGGAUACUUAGUAAUUCUUUGGGUAUGGGACCGCUCAAAUUAUUAUUAGAGAGACCCAACUCCAACAAGUUUUGGCAAUUUCCAAGAUUCGAUGGGAUACUUCCAUGUAAACUAUUGAGUUCUAAAUGAGCAGCAAUUAACGACGUCAUAUUGCCUACAGAUGAUGGGAUACUGCCUGAGAUUUUAUUUUGAUCUAGAUAUAAAUAACCUAAAUUUUGUAAUUUACCAAUAGAACUUGGUAUCAUACCGCUCAAUUGAUUUGACUCCAAGCCCAAAGCAACCAGGCUGAUGAGAUUUCCAAUCCCAUCUGGAAUUGUUCCACGUAUUUGGUUUCUCCCAAAUCCCAUCAUCCUUAAAUUUUUGGAGAAGUUGCCAAGUGUUUCAGGAAGUACCCCUCCUAAAUGGUUGCCAGCUAUCUCAAAAAUUUCCAAAACGGUGUUGUUUUCCAGGGGGUAGAGAAAACUCAGGUCAUCGUCCUGGCCACUUCCAAGAUCAUUGUAACCAAUUGACAGGUGCCACAAGUAAGGCAAGCUUCCUAGGGCGGGUACUUUCCCAGUGAAGAAGUUGUCUGAGAGUUCAACAUUAGAGAGAUUUGAGGCAUUAGAGAUUGUCAUGGGAAUCAGUCCACUGAAGCGGUUUGUGUGAACUAGAAGGAUUUCAAGAUUUGGAAGGGUGUGGCCCAAGUCAGGAGGCAGAGUCCCAUGAAGUUGAUUCAUUGGCACAGCAAAAUUAGUAAGAGUAGAGAGAUUGAAUAUGGAAGGAGGGAUUGUACCACUCAAAUUAUUGAUGCCGAAUGAAAAGAUUUGUAAUCUUUUCAAUCGCCCUAUACUAUUUGGAAUAACUCCUUUCAAAUUAUUCCCCAUCCCACGAAUUUCUACGAUAGAUGAAAGGUUUCCAAAUGAAGGUGGUAUUUCGCCGACCAGAUCAUUCAUUUUAAAAUUUAAUACUUUCAAUUUUGAUAAUGAUUCUAGUCGUUCAGGAAGCUUACCAGUGAGAUUGUUGCCCUCUAAACGAAGGGCAAGGAGAUUUGUGCAGCUUGAAAUGUUAACAGGGAUUUCACCACUAAACGAAUUGUUACCUAGUCUCAACAUUUGUAGCCGAAACAAAUGACCCAGUUCUUCAGGGAUAUUGCUGCUCAAGCUAUUGUUUUCCAGGUUCAGUAGCCUAAGGAAACUCAAGUUGCCAAUAGAGGGAGAUAGGCCGCCCACCAGUUUAUAAGAGUGCAGGUCAAGCUCUACAACUCGCUGAUGUCUGCGUCCACAUGUAACACCAGACCACUCGCAGAAGUGGAAGGAUUCGUUCCACGAGUUAAGUGCACCAAAGGGAUCAUCUGUAAUUUGAGCCCUGAAAGCUAGCAAAGAGAGUUUGUCUGUCUCAUUUCCUCCAUGUAAUGUGAAGGAAAACGAGUGCCCAGUCACUUGCAAGAAAACUAUCCACAAAAUGCAUGAAUUCAUGCUUGGUAGCUUUCUUUAAUUAAGUAUUAAAGAUAUGAUUAAAGUGAUUCUAAGUUUAUGCAUAUAUAUAUAUAUAUAUACAAACAUGGAAAGUGCUAAGGUAAAUGACAAUAUAGUUGUGCCCGCGCAAAUAAUCAACAGCUCGAGCCCACAAUGAUGUUAAGUUGUACGCAAUUUUCUUGCCAUUAAUGUUGAAUUCUGUGAAAAUGAAGGCCGAGGCCCUUCAACACGUUUUCUACCGUGCAAAAGACUGCAAGGAAUCUCCGGUCAAUGUGGACCAUGAUUUUCAAGCGGCCAAACUUGGUUUCCAAAUUUCAAUCCCUUGAUUUUCAAACUUUUGCAGCUAAAUCUCAGGUGGUAAGAUAUUUUGGGUGGAAUUCAAUACUGUUAUAACAUUGUGAACAAAUGAAUUUUCUAGACUUUUUUUUUUUUUUUUUUUGAUCUGAGGAAACUCCAUCCCCUGAAAAGUGUACUUUGUGGGUCCAAGUAAGCGAGUAAAACCCCGGCUGUUCCAGGCUCUUACAAGAGAUGCACGUCCUGACUCGAACUCGAGACCUGCUGUGCAGAUCUCAAGCUCUUUACCAUCAUGCUACGUUCUUUGAGGACUAGAAUUUUCUAGACUUUUAAAGGAAAAUAUAGAAAAGGAACUGCAAAAGCUACCGGAAAAUCUAGAACCAAGGUGCUAGACAUUUCUGUUCAUUAAUACCUUCUAAUACUUUUUUUUCCUGUUAUAAUAUUGUAUCUUUAUUUUAUUAUUACUCGCUUUUUAAAAAAAAAAUCAUUUAAAGCAAGAGUUAUCUUUAUUUUCAUGGUAGUACCAUAAUUGAAUAACUGUUUAUUUACAAGAAUUUUAUGUUACACUCAAAAAAAUCACUAAAAAUAUAGAGUAAGAAAGAAGAAUACGCAGCUUACCAAGAAGGAGCAAGUGCGGACCCAGUGAAGAAGUUGUCUGAGAGUUCAACAACAUUAGAGAGAUUUGAGGCAUUAGAGAUUGUCAUGGGAAUUAGUCCACUGAAGUGGUUUGUGUGAACUCGAAGGAUUUCGAGAUUUGGAAGGGUGUGGCCCAUUUCAGGAGGCAGAGUUGAUUCGUUGGCGCAGUAGAAUUAGCAAGAGUAGAGAGAUUGAACCGGCUAAGGUCCGGUUAUACGAGUUAAUCCGAGUCAACCAAAAUCAAUCUUGAAAAAUUUAAAAAAAAUUAAAAUUUUAAUAUUUCAUAUGAAAAAAUUAACAAUUUAUGUUAAUAUAAGCUAUACAUGUUAUAAAUAAUGAAGUUUAAAAAAUUAUUUUAAAAGGUUUUUUGUUCCACUUUGAAAAGAUACCAUUUUAGUAUGUUAUCUUUUUAAGUUGAAGUAUUUAAACCAAAAAUAUUUUUUAUCUCAUAUUGAAAAAACAUAACGUUUUUAUUGUGAAUAUAGAGUAUAUAUACUAAAGGGCUUCAAAUCCCAUAUUGAAAAAAUAAAAUAUUCUUAUAGUAUUUAUAUAGUGAACUUUGAAAAGGGUUAAUAACCAAUUAAAAAAUAUAUAAAAAGAGAGUUCUCUGGUUAGGAGAAAAAAUACAUUUGAAAAAAAAAGGUCUCAACCGGGUUUUGUCAGGUCACGGGUUUUGCCGGAUUUUUGUUAAUCCCAGUCUUUUACCUUACCUGGACCAAUCCAGCCAUCGGGUCGACCCGGUCCCUGGCCGACCCGCUGGGCUGAUCCGGGUUUAAUAACUAUGGUAAUGAUAGACUGUUUGUAAUUGUGACAACAAUUAUUUUUUAAAAAUAUUUUUAGUUUGAAAAUGUAUUAAAAUAAUAUUUUAAAUUUGGUAUAUUAAAAUGAUUUAAAAAUAUAAAAAUAAUUAAUUUAAAAAAAUUUAAAAAAUUAUUUUUUUAUUAAAAACUUUUAAAACAAAAAUUAAAAGAGGCUAUAAAUAAAAUUUCUUCCCAAUUGCACGUUAAGCUAAUGUGCACAUACAUGUACCACUUGUUAUACUUUAAUGGUAGCACGCAUGACAUGACUAAUUAAGAGUAUAUUUUGUAAUGCAGUUAAAUAUGUAUUUUUAAAAAAUUUAAAUAAUUUUUUUAAAUUUUUAGAUAUAUUUUUAUAAUUUUGAUACGCUGAUGUUAAAAAUAAAAAUAAAAAUAUAUAUAAAAUAUCUUUUAAUAUAUUUUAAAUUAAAAAUAUUUUUAAAAACAUUAUCAUCGCAUUGGUAAACACAAACUAAGUUUGAGAUUAUUUUACUUCUCCCAAUUUUAACUAAAAGUUUUAAAUUCUAUCCCAAAUAGGUUUUUUUCUUUUUAUUUAUGUGAGAAUUACAUCAACAACAAAUUGAUAUGCAACCAUACGCUAAUUGUUUUAAUUCACAGCAGUUUUCCAAGAUUAAUUUGAGCUAAUUAUUUUGUAUUGGAUUAUAAUAAAAACAUAUCUAGUUAUGAUUUUUUUUUCAUUUCUCAUAAUAAUUCUAGCUAUAUCUAGCAAAUUUUUUUUUAUAUCAGAUAUACAUAUAUUUCUUUUUUUUUUAAUAAUAAUAAUAUAUCGUAUAUCUUGCACUCUCUAGCUUAAAACAUAUCACAAUUUGAUUUAAUUUAAUUUAACGCUUCAAAAAGGAAAUAAGGACGAACUUUCACAUCAUUUUCAACACAAAAGUCUAGUUUUUAUAUAUAUAUAUAUAUAAGAUUUACAUGAAAAUAAUAUCUCCAGACAUGUGACAAGACACAUGUCAAUAUUAUUAUUAGCCAAUCUUCACGAGACUUGCUUCUGCAAUAGAAGCACCGGGCACCAUCCGUCUGUUAUAUUUUUUUCCCCUGAUGAUUUUUGCCAAAAGUUACUCUAAUUAGAAUCACUUCGUUUUUUGUAUUUUUCUUAAAAAUAAAAAAGUAUAUUAUUCAUAAAUAGCAUUAAUUUUCUAAUUAAAUUAUAUCAUGAUUCAAAAAUCAAAUUCCAAUAAAAAAAUAUAUCUUGAUAAUUUUUAUCUGACUGUAAAUAAAAUAAAGGAAUAAUUAAUUUACUAUUUUUUUUUAUAAAAACUUCACAAUAAAAAAAAAUAUUUUAUUUUCAUUGAAUAUUUAGGAGAAUGUUUUUUAAUGCUCGUAGACCACCUUAUGAUUACAAACCACCACAGUCUAAUACUACAGCAGUAGUUUCAUCAGAUUCUUUCAUCAAUCCUAGUACUUUAACUAAGCAAUUUAAGAAGUUUCUCUCCUUAUAUCCACAAUCUAUAUCUGUUCCUUCUUCCAUAGACAAGUUCCCUCAUAGUUCUUUAGAUAUAUAUAUCAUUUUGAAUGAGUCUUAGAUUCUGGUACUUUACAUCAUAUAUCUCCAAAUUCUUUAUCUUUUGCUUCUGUGUCUCUUUCAUUUUCUAUUCUUGUCAUGACCGCUGAUGACACUUUUAAGCAUUUAACAAGUGUUGGUUCUAUUGUCAUACCUUACUUUUUUCUUCUUAAUUUUUAUUUUAUUUGAAAACUCACAUUGAAUCUUGCUUUAUUGGUCAUUUAUGCGAUUAUGGUAAUUAUUUAGUCAUCUUUUCCUCUUUUUUUGUUGUUGUUGUUGUGUGCAAGGUCUGCAAUCCCAAUAGCUGAUUGGGACAGGCCAUAGGAAGGGGGGACUAUAUAUUUUGGAUGAAUUAAAAGUGACAGUUAUUGCUACUAAUAGUGUGCUAGUUGCUACUGCUACUAGUGUUGACUUGUCUUUUUUUUGUUUAAGUCCUUCUUCUUCUAAUUUUUAUUUAUAGCAUUUUCAUCUAGGUCAUGUUUUGCCUUCUCGUUUGAGAUUUUUGGCAUCCACUAGAGCUUUAGAAAAUUUGCAAACUUGUGAUAUUUCUGAUUUUAGUGGAUAUAAACUGACAAAAUUGUUUGCUUUACCUUUUAAUCGAAGUAUUUCUAUUUCUUCUUCUCCAAUUGAUUUGAUUCAUUCUGAUGUAUGAGGACCUUCUCCUGUUACCACAAAAGGAGAAUCUCGAUAUUAUGUUUCUUUUAUUGAUGAUCAUACUUUUAUUAUUUGAUUUAUUUAAUGUAACAUCAAUAUGAAUUCCUUGACAUAUAUAGCCUUUCACGCUCGUGUUAAAACUCAAUAUUCUAAUGUUAUCUAAUGUUUUAGGUGUAAUUUGGGUAGGAAAUACACCUUUAAUAAAUUUUAUGAGUUCCUUGCCCUAAAUGGAACUAUUCAUCAAACUUCGUGUACAGAUACUAUUGAGCAAAAUAGCGUUGCUGAAAGAAAACAUAAACACUUGUUGAAACUGCUCGUUCUCCCUUGUUGUCUGCUUCUGUUCCUAGUGUGUUUUGGGGUGAAGUUGUUCUUACUGUUGUAGGUUUGAUUAAUAAAAUUUCAUCUUCUUAUAUUUCAGGUUUUUCUCCUUUCAAAAAGUUGUAUGGGUAUGCCCCUGAUUAUUUUUUUUAGAGUUUUUGGUUGUACUUGUUUUGUUUUUCAUGCUCAUGAAAAACACAGCAAGUUGUCCUCUUAAUCUGUUAUUUAUGUCUUUCUAGGUUAUGGUAAAGGUAAAAAGGAGUAUCAUUAUUUUGAUCCAAUAUCUCAGAAACUUUAUGUGUCUUAUCAUGUUGUCUUUUUCGAGCAUAUACCUUUCUUUUCUAUUCUAUCCAUUACUCAUAGCUUAACUAGAUUUGAUCUUAUUCGUAUAGAUCCUUUUUUUAAAGAUUCUGAUAAUUUAUCAUCUCGAGUUUCUAGUACUUCAAUCCUUAUUUUUAUGUUCUUACCCCCAUUACCUUUACAUUCUACUCGACCAAUUUGUACUGACCAUUCUGCAGGUAUUGCCACUUUACUCUCCGGUACACCUGAAGCUCUCUUUACUUCUAUGGUCCCUCAAGCUCUGUUUGAGAUUGUGAAUCCUCCUUUAUGUCAAUCCAUAUGCAUUUGUAAGUCCAUAAAGUUACUAUAUUUUUUCUAUUCUUGUUAUUCUUCGUCUUUUACUUUCUUUUUAGCUUUUAUUCAGUGUCUCUCUGAGCCUUCUUCCUAUAAAAAGAAAAUUCUUCAUCUUCUUUGGCAGUAAGCUAUAGAUGAGGAACUUUUAGCUUUGCAUAAGACAGAUACUUGUGAUUUGGUCCCUUUACCUCUUGGUAAGAGUUAAUUGGUUGUCGUUGGGUGUAUAAGAUCAAGACUAAUUCUGAUAGAUCUAUUGAGCAAUACAAAGCUAGGUUAAUUGUAAAAGAAAACUCUGAACAGUAUGGUAUGUAUUAUGAGGAGAUAUUUUCUCCUGUUUCAAAAAUAACUACUAUUUAUACUUUUAUUGUAAUAGCUUUGGUUCAUCAGUGGCAUGUCUCUCAACUUGAUGUUAAAAAUACCUUCUUGAAUGGAGAUCUUCAAGAAGAAGUUUAUAUGGUGCCCCUUCCUAGUGUUUCAUAUGACUAUAGGUAUGUUUGCAAGCUCAAGAAAAUGUUAUAUGGUCUUAAACAACCACCUCGUACUUGUUUGAGAAAUUUUCUAUUGUGAUCUCUUCCCUUAGAUUCGUUUCUAGUACUCAUGAUUCUACUCUUUUUGUUAAGUGCACUAAUACAGGUCGUAUCAUUCUGUCUUUAUAUAUUGAUGACAUGAAUAUUAUUGGUGAUGAUAUUAAUGGUAUUUCAGUUUUGAAGACAGAGUUAGCUAGAAGUUUGAAAUAAAGGAUUUGGGUUCUUUAUGAUAUUUCUUGGGUAUUGAGGUAGCCUACUCACCUAGAGAUUAUCUUCUUUCUCAUUAAAAAAUAUUGCAGAUAUUCUUGAACGGGUUAGACUUACUAAUAAUAAAAUUGUAGAUAAUUCUAUUGAGUUUACGCAAAGUAUUCUUCUUCUAAUAAUUUACUUUUUUCAGAUCCUACUUUAUACCAUACUAUUAUUGGGAGCUUGAUAUAUCUCACUAUUACUCGUCCAAAUAUUACCUAUGUUGUUUAUGUUAUUAGUUAGUUUGUUACUUCUCCUAUUACUGUUCAUUGAGCAGUUGCUCUUCGUAUUUUGAGAUAUUUUCAGGGUACAGUCUUUCAAAGUCUUUUAUUUCCAUCCACCUUUUUCUUAGAGCUGCGUGCAUACUCUGAUGUUGAUCAUGAUAGUGAUCUCCCACAGAUCGCAAGUCUAUUAGUGGUUUCUAUAUCUUUUUGAGUGAUUCUCUUAUUUCUUGGAAGAGUAAGAAACAAUCUAUUGUUUCUCAAUCUUCAACCGAAGCUGAAUAUCUUGCUAUGACAUCUACUACCAAAGAGAUUGUUUGGUUACAUUGGUUACUUGCAGAUAUGCGAGUUUCUCUUUCUCAUCUCACUCUUAUGUAUUGUGACAACCAAAGUUCUAUUCAAAUUGCUCACAACUUAUUUUUUCAUGAAUGAACUAAGUACAUUAAGAUCGAUUGUCAUCUUAUUCGUCAUCAUUUCAAGCAUGGCACAAUUACUUCGCUCUUUGUUCCUUCUUCUUUGCAGAUUGCAGUUUUUUUACCAAAUCGCAUUCUAUUUCCCGCUUUUGUUUUCUAGUUGGCAAACUCUCGAUGCUUAUAGCUUCCACAUCGUGAGUUUGAGAGGAGAUAUUAAGAGAUAUAGGGUUAUUUUGUUUUAUUGUUUAUUAAGGGUAGAAUAGUCUUUAUAUUUUCUUUUCAGUUUUAUUUGUUUAGCCUGUAUAUAGUCUCUUUGUAUUUAAGUUAAACUUAUUUAUUUUGAUUGCAUUAUGUUGUAUCAAUGAAACCCUAGCUUUCUCCUUUUUUAUUUUGAUAUUUCUCUUUAUUUUUCUGGAUUUUUUAACAAUAUACAACUCUUUGUAGCAGGAAUAUUUCCUGUUUUGGUUAUCUUUUGAAAAUGAAAACCUUCCGAUCAUCAAAAAAAUAAAAGAAAAAGGAUGUUGGGACUAGUCUACUGUAUUUAAUUGGAUCAAAUAUAUGUCAUUGUUUUUGCAAAAGUGAUGAAUUUAAAGGUUUUGCAGAGGAAGCUUGGACAAUCCAAUGAUAGAACUCUUUUGCAGCUGCUUUUCCUGUUAGGAAUUGCUGCUUUAUUUGCUUCAGUACUUGACUUGUUUACUUAUCUAAAUAGUUUUUGUUAGCAUUCAUCUUAUUCUCAACAGAGCCUGAUCAUGGUUUCAUGUCUUUGUGGCAUAAGAUUUCCUGUUUGUGCUAAAUCUGCUGCUUACCUCCAUUCUGUAGUCUUAUAAUUGCUUAGUUAUUGUCUAAAUUUUUCAUUCAGGAAGAUAAAUCAUGUAAGAAGUUUUGUACCUAAAACCUUGUUGUUAUAUUCCUCGAUGUACUUAAUCAGACAGAUUUUCAACAUGAAAUCGGACAACCUUAAGUACUGCUUAAGUGAAGAUACAAAAAAAGAAAAAGAAUUCAACAAUGGCUCUCUGAGUUCAUAACUGGCAAAUAUAACUUUACUGUUUCCGUUGUAGAAUGUAUUCUAUAUGAGACAAAUAUCAACACAACACAACAUAAGCAAUGCUAUUGUUGAGCAGACAUAUUGGUUCAGUUGAUGGCAGGACUAGGUCCAGAUGGUGGCAGUGGUGCACCUUUUGGAAGCUUUGCCCCAAUGGUUCUAACGCCUGCCUCGUAACUGUUCUCGGUUUGGAAUCCUGAAAGCUUCCCCCGAGGCAGCGGCCGAGCCUGGGAAUUUCCCAUGAGUGCACAAACCAGAGAUAGAGCAACUAGGAAGCAUAUGAAAUUCAUGCAGCUGUUUGAGCCCCUCAUUUUAUGUAUGCCUAAUGUUUGACAGGACAAGGUUAUUUAUAGGCGCCCUUCAGAAAAUAAUUGGCCAGGUUUUGCUUGCAUGAAAUGUGGGCGGCUUGUCAACAAGGAUUUGGGUACAUGAAAUUAUUUAUUUAUUCAAUGAACUAGCCGAUAAAGUAUCUGUCCUCACAUUUCUAAAUCCAAAAAGUGCCCAAAUGCAUCCUCUCUUUUUUUUAUGACAAAACGCUCUCAACUUCUGUCCAUACGUGACUCAGAAGCAUCAACACCAACUAACAUCAAGCAGAAGUCAACCUUUAUUAAUCUUAUAUCACCAUGGAACAAAAUCACUUCAGAACUAAACAAUUUCCAUUUACCUAUAAAACAAAGUCUAUCCUUAAAUAUUUCGUAUCAUAUAUAGUGGACAAACGAAACUUCAAAAGCUUGUGGCACCACGUUGGAUUGAUAGUUAACACAUUCAAGAAUGUCAACUACUAGGAAAUAUAUUUUCGUAAACAAAGUCAAACUACACUUGCUUCUUGCUAGCGAGCUUGGGUAAAAUUCUAGAGGCUUCAUGUGCUGGAAACCAUCAUUCUGUCUUGAUUAAGUUGAAAACUUUCAAACUAUACCUGUCUCUUGCUGGCUUGGAUUAGGUUUGAGAAUUUUCUUUCUUCAGUUUCUGAAAAUAGACAAGACUUGUCAUCACUUUUCUAGCUUGUUUUUGUUUGGUUUUCAUGUUAUUCAUGAUAUCUUCAAUCUAGCUUCUUGACAUGAUUUUCAUGUUCUUCUAGUCUGUUGCUUAAUUCCUCUUUGUAACUUUUGGAGUGCCGAAACUGCUGGCUUGUUGAAGGGCUGGUCUUGUUUCUUCCUUACUAAUAUUAAUAUUUCAUUCCUUAUAAAUGGAUCAAAAAACAUUGAGGCAAUUCAAGUAUUAUGUACCUAAAACUAUUCAUGCCCACUUAAAUGUUAAUCCUGUGAUGCACUUAUUCAGAAGCAGAUUUUCAGUACAAAAUCCUGCAUAUAUAUACAAAGCUCAACUACUUAUUUCUAAUCAUUAUAUCUCAGGAAGAACACCAAGCUGUCUGCUAAUUCACAUGAGUUUAAAGGCACACAAGUCACAACGCGCUUAAUCCUUAUAAUUAAUGACACUGCAACGUCCAAAUAGGACUGUCCAUGAAUUGAGCUCUUAAAUCAAUUUGUAAGGCUCUAUUAAGCAACGGCACUGCUUAACAGAUAUGAUCAGUUGAUGCGAGGGCUGGGUCCAGAUGGUGGUAAUAGAGCACCUUUUGGUAAGCAUUGCGCCGAGGCUAAAGCUCGCAUCAUCUCAGUUUUCUGUGUGGAAUCCUGAAAUCUUCCUCUGAGGCAGCUGCCGAGCCUCAAAACUUUGCAUAAGAGCACAAACCCUAGCUAUAACAAAGAGGAAGCAUAUGAAAUUCUUGCACCUGUUUAAGCACCCCAUUUUUUGAAUACCUCCAGUUUGACAACCAGGUUAUCUAUAGCAGCAAUGCAGCAAAUGACCAGGUUUUUCCACGCAGGAAAUGCUGGUCAACUUGUCAUCUGGCUUUACGUUCUUCUCUGAAGCAAAAAACUGUCUCCCCUCGUUUUUAAUGCUAACAAGCAUUCUCUCUGUCCAUAACUAAGAAGCAUUACCAUCUAAUAUUAAGAAGUCAACCUAAUUUUAUAUCGCUAUUGGAAAAAAGUCACUUAUGAAUUUAAAUCAAUUAUAAUUUAUUAAAGAAAGUUUGUCUUUUAAUCUUCCAUAUCAUAUCAUGGUGGCAAGGCCUAGCCUUUUCAAGUUGGCGUCUCUUGGCAUUUUAAAUAAACUCUCCACAGCCGAUCCAAAUGGAGAGUACACUAUCAUUUACUCUCGCAAGUAAACACUACUUAUACACUACUUUGUAUUAUUAAUUAAUUUUAAUUAAAAAAAUAAAAUAAUAAGAUUCAAAUAAAAAUAAUAAGAUUUAAACUCAUAAUAAUUUAAUAAUUAAAAUUAAUAUCAUGACUCAAAAUAUAAAUUUAAAAUCAAAUAAUAAUAUAAAAGUCUUUUUCUCCAUGGACGUUCUCUUUCAAAACAACUAGGAGAAAUAUUGUUUUUUAAAUGAGUAAUGGGUCUGCUAGGAACUAUUCCCAUUUACUACAUAACAUUCAGCUUUGAUCUUUAGCAGCUGAGUUUUGCAGCUUUCAGUGGCUUCUCUAUUCUCUUUGCUUGACUAGUUUCUUAUUGAGAAACUUGAAGUUACGUUGGGUGUUUUUUUUUUUUUGCAUUUUGCUUUCAUAUUGUUGUGAUAGUUUCAUGCUGUUUGCUUGUAGCUAGCAGUGCUAAUCUUUGUCGUGAUUUUUUUUUUCAGAGGGAGAGAUCAGAGGGAUCAGUAUGGCUGCAGUUUUGUAACUAAAACUAAUCAUACCUACUUAAUUGUUAAUUCCCUGCUAGCUGUACUUGACUAAACUGAUAUAAAAUGUGACACACAACAAUUGAUUACUUCUUAACCAUCAUGUCUUAGGAAGACCACACCAUCUAAUGUUGACACACAACCCAUCCCACCUAAUACCUUUGAUGCUUGUCACUGUAACCAAGUAGGACGAAGGUUGUCCAUUUGAGCUCCAAAUUGAUCUCUAGCUUCUAUGAAGAAGAACAGUAAAGCAGUGGAGUAUAAUAGCAGCCCACUUGGAUAGUUAGAAUUAAAAGAAAUGUGUGGCCAAAGGCAGAAGCGGUAUGAGAAAUAAAAAUAAUGAAUCUAUAUAUAGCAUGUUAUGCAUAAAUCCUCUAUGAGAGUAGACAGUAGUACUAUAAACUAGACAACAAAGAAUAUAGCAAGCCUCUCUUAGUUCAUCACUACCUAGUAUAACUUAACCUCUCUUAGUAAACAUCCUAUUCAUCAUGCAUGAGAAUCCGCAGAGACUUUAGCAAAUGCCAUCAUCGAACGUCUAAAACUGAAUCAGUUGAUGACCAGGCUAGGUCCUGAAGGUGGCAGGGGUGCACCUUUUGGUAACAUCGCCGCAAGGUUCCUAAGAGUUGCCUCAUGUGAUGAAUUCUGAGCUUGGAAUCCUGGGACGUUCAUGUGCAGCAGCGACCUAGCCUGGGAACUUCCGGGGAGUGUUAAAACCAGCGCAAGAACAACUAGAAAGCAUAUGAAAUUCUUGCACCUCUUUGAGCACGCCAUUUCUUGUGUGCCUAAUGUUUGACAAGACAAGGGUUAUAUAUAUAUAGGAAAGAAAUUAUGCUGCAAAAUGACCAAGUUUAUUACGCAUGAAAGGUGGGCCGGCUUGUCAACUGGGAUUUGGUACAGGUAAUGUUUUUUUGAAUAACUUGCCGGCAAAAUGGUCUUGCUGUACAUUCUUUUCCGCCGAAUGGUAAUCCGAGAAGACUUUCUUUCACUAAAAUGUGGAUUCCGAUGGGGCCGGCUGGUCAUUUUUGUCAAGAGACUAAUUUGUAAUUGGAUAUGUGUUUAAGUAUUCUAAGCAUAUAGAUUAAUAUUAUUAUUUUUUUUUUUUUUUUUUGAUUUACGUGGGGUGUCCGGGCCAGCUUACGCGCACCACGACUAUUCCCCACGGCCCACUGGACAUCCUGCAAGCCCAGGAGCAGGUAAGGCACCGCGGGGGUGACAGGCGUGCACAUAGAGGGUCGAACCCGGGACGGGGGCGAAACAAGUCACACGGUUGACCACAGCAGCUAGACCCUCAAGUACAUAUUAUUUUAAACGUAAAACCAUUGACUUUAAAUUGUAUAUUGGGAUAAAGUGCGUAUAAUAAGUUUUGAGUUGACUUGUUUUUAUUCAUCAACUUGCACAAUUGCUUCAAGAUACAAAUUCAAGGUACAAGAAAGAUAGAAGUGAAGCUGCAUUUGGAUUCAAACACAAGGAAUCCUAAAAAAAAACUUAUUUUAUUUCUUAAACAAUAAUAUGAACAGAUUGAUGAGGUGAUAAUUCAGUUUUUUAAAAAAUAACUAAAUCAUCUUUAAAAACAAGAAUUAUCUAACAAGAGCCUAGGGUCUUUUUCCACUAACAUUGAGAGGGUUUUGUUUUUGUUUUUUCAUCCUAUUUAUUUUUAGUAAUAAUCAAAUUGUCUUAAGAUAAAUUUAAUUUUUUAAUAAAUAUAAAAUAUAAUUUAAAAAUAAAAAGUUGUUGGCACGUGCAAUGUAGACACUAACAUAUAGAAUGUCCCCACACGCUAUUUGGAUGACACAUGAGCAGGUAGUUAGCUGUUAAACGGUGGCUUCUGUAAUGAUGUAUGAAUUGUCUUGGUGGUCUGUUCAUCCAUAGACGACACAUAUGGCUUACAUAUUUCUGGUUUGACACUAACAAUCUUUUUUUAUUAUUUUUUAUCUUCUCCUCGAUUUACAUGCAUGGAUCUAUAAAUUUUCAAAGAAACCUUUCAAUUUUUUUUUUCUUCAGAUUUGGUCCAUUUUCUUUUGAUUAUUAUUUGUUUUAUUUGAAAUAAUUUAUAACAAAGAAACUCUUCAAUAAUUUUUUUUUAUCUAUUAGAUUUGAUUCUCAUUCUUUUUAUUACUCUUUGUUUUGUUUUAAAUCCUUUUGUUAAUUGGAUUUGUUUUUCAACUCUUAACAUUUGAUUCAUUUUAUUUCUAUAUCAAAUUUAAUCAUUAUUUUUUUUAUUGUUAUUUGUUUUAUUUUAGAUCUUCUUUUUUUAUUGGAACUUUCUUUCUUCAAUUUUAUCUCUCAGCAUUUUGUUAAUUGAGAAUUUGGUUUUAUAAUAUUUUUUUUAGUUUUUCUUCUAUGGGGUAAUCCCGACUUCAAGACCUAGCUAGGUCACGGGUUUAAAAAGUUAUUUUGAGUUGACUUGAGUAAUUUUUUAGGUCAUUUUUUACGGUUUUUUUUCAUCCUUCAAUAUUAUAUUUGUUAGAGAUUAGGCUUCAUUAUUUUUUUUUUCUUUUUAUGAGGUUAUUUCAAUUUUUAUGUUGGGUCACGGGUUAACUCAUGUUGACUCAUGCUAAUUUUUUUAUUAGAUUAUCUUUUACUAUUGCCUUUUUUAUCAUAUCAAUAAAUUAAAUAAGUUUAUAUAUUAUAUCCAAUCAAGUCAAUGACCAACUCUUAAAUUUUUCCUACUUUUUUAAAAACAUUACCAUCACUUAAACAUCUUUUUUCUACAUUACAAAAUGUUUAGUCUAGCUCACAAUAUAGCAUGAACCACUAAUUUAGUUUAAUAACUAUAAAAAAUGGUUUAUGUACCAAAUUUAACCUCUAAUGCACCACCAUCUGCUAGCAUGUCUAUGGUAUUGGUAUCUCUACACUUGAAAAUGCUAUAUAAUUAAGACUAGGAUCAUGAGUCAUUUGAUGCUCAAUAUAUAGUUGUCAGCUCAAAUCACUAUAUUAUUAAGUCAACUCAAUUUAACUCAAAUCAAUAAACUCAAUUUAACUUAAAUCAAUUAUUUUUAUUAAAAACAAUGUUAUUUCAAUUUAACUCAAAAUAAUUAUUUUUUAUAAAAAAACAAUAUUAUUUUAAUUUUUUAAAAUUCUUUAGAGUUAACCCCAAUUGAGUUUCAUUUGGGUUUAGUCAAGCUAACUAGAUGACAAAUUAAUUUGCUAAAUUUAAUCGAGUCACCGCUAAGCCAAAGCAGGUUCAACAAAAUCUAUAUCCAAAAUCAAUGUCCAAAAUAGGCAAGUAAAUAAAUAAAUAAAUACUCAGCAAGGUCACCAAGUCACCAGGUCGAUCAGCCAAGCCAACUUAAAUAACCAUGGCUCUCAAAACAUUCCCAUCCACCGUCCACGGGCACUAAUUUAACCUGCUGCUCAGACUUUGAUACUUUGAACUAGUUGCAUGACAUCAGCUCUUCAUGAGAAAUAGGUAGAGAUCAUAGUUUCUUGAGGCACAUGGUCGAAGACUUUUCAUUUUUUGAUGGAAUGGUCAGACUUGAUAACAAAGUGACAUCACCUAAAAAACAAUUCCUGGUCCAGGACGGGAGAUGUGACAAAUGGCCUGGAUAAUUAGCAUAUCACUCAACAAACUUAAGGCAGAUUAUUAUGGUUAAUGGUAUAGUCCAGAUACUUAAAUACGUAGCCAGCAGGAACAAAAGAGAACAAAAAUAAAAAUACAAAUUAUGUUCAUCAAUCCAAGAGCGAUAUGAUAUAUUUCCAACAAGCAUAAGAUUCAGAGCCUUGUCAUCAAGCCCAUAAAGCGGCACCAAACUUCAAAACUCCAUGCAAUGACAAACAAACAGACAUCUCCAGCCUCCGCACAAGAGCAAGUACGUGCUAACAGCUAAUAGAAGAACCGUCAAUUAUUAGCCUCAAGCCAGCCAGACAAAUGGAGGCUAACCAUCAAAAUUCAAGAUGUGAUGACGAUAUAUAAUUCUUCAUUCAAGAACAGACUGGCACAAAGAAAUAAGAUGUUUAAAAUUGAUCGACAGCGUAAUAAAUUCAGCAAUUUAAAUUUAAAUUCACGAUUGGCUUCCAUACCAAUUCAUUUACACACAAAGCAGAAAUGUCAGCCAUGCACAAUCAUGUAUGUAUUCAUCCUGUUAGACAACAGGUCAAUGCAUUGUUUUAUGAGACAGCUAUGCACAAAAGUAAAUGAACUAAAAACCUAUUUCUGCUACCUGAAGAGUUUAUUUGUAGUUCUGAAAAAGGAUCAUAGCAGUUACCUUUACAACAGGUUAAAGACCUUUGUUAAGAGUAAAAUCUACAUCCUACAACUGAAACUAAAGUCAAUUGAAAGGUUCGGCUACUCAAACUUGUGCCCAACUCUACUCUUCAGGUCUAUAGAAAUGCAGCAACUUCAGCGGCAACACCUUUUCCUAAAAAAAAAAAAAGAACAUGGAGAAAGGGUUCAGUAUUACAAUUCCAAUUCAUCACAAUAAAAGUUGCAAGCACAGAAUAGAAUAGAAUACCUGAACUGGUUCUCCAGAUUGUGAAGGGAAAUGAAAACCUGUUGAGCAAUUCUCCAAGAUCUCUGGAUUUUUCAUCCAUCCUCUAUGUCCCUCACUCACUUUGAUCUUGUACUUGAACAUCUGAAACAGGGAAGAAUAUCAUGAUAUUAUAAUUGAGAGCACUUGAGAAUUUCUCACUGCUUUAAUUUCCCAAAGGAUUUUGCCAGUAAAAGAAAACCUUUUUUAUUGAGGGAAAACCAAUCACAACCUUAAAGUUAAAAGCCAGUUAAUCUUUCCUUCAAAUUCACUCCGUAAAGACUAAACAAACAUUUGACAAUAGAAUUGUUUAUUUAACUGGAGAGAAAAUUCUGUAAUUCCCUAUUACUGGCAGAGUGCAAGGAAAAAACAUUAAAAAAAAAAACAACACAAUGGCAUGAACAAAUGACAGAAACCAUACUUCUGAAAGAGGGGUAAGUGGCUUCUCAAACUCAUCUCCCUCAAUGUUCACACCGGUGCCUUGGCAGUCUGGACAGAACACAGAAACAAUUGGGUUUGGCAAAACAUUCACCGUUCCAUCCUUUCCUGUUGUAUUUGAUUUGGUUCCAUUCUUUUUCCUAGAUCUUCGCCCCCCUUUGGUACUGACUGUCUGAUUUCGAACAAUUUCAAACUCACAGUAGAGUAUCCAGUGUAUAAGGCAAGAAGCGUGAAAUACAUGAAAUGCCUGCAAGAAAAAAAUAUUUUUUUCAAAAGAUACUAAACUAAUUCUUAAUGUUUCACCUCAAACCAAAUCAAUAGAAACAAAUUAGUAUAUGCCCCAACAAGUAUCACAACGCAUUUAGAGCACUAGGUAAAACAUGAUCUUUGAGAAAUGACAGGUGAGGAAGAGAAUGUUACCCCAUACACAUUUCUGCUACUGCAAGCAAGUUUUCCAGUCUUCCUGUUCCAAAGCGUUGCUACAUCUUUCUCAGGAAGCAUCUUUUGCUGACAGAUAUCACACAUUUUUUCUGCUGCUAUGCGCUGUUGCUUUCUUACCUCUCGCCUUACUGUCUUGUUUGAUAUAAAUCUGGUGUGCAUGAGCUGAUCAUCAUAUCGAUCCAGCACCAAAUUAGAAGAGGCACAAGUUGUCUUUGAAGAUUCUUCCUCGCAUAAACCCAUACUGAUUAGUCAAAGAUCUACUAACAUCCUCUGGCUCAGAAACAGAUCUCUUCCUUUUCCAAUUACCCCUCUCAUCAUUUUCUGUCAGUGCUGGAGCACUAGAAGAGAGCAAUAGCUUCACAUCAUCAAACAAUCCACUCUUUCCCAAUUCGUAAUCAUAAGCAAAAGUUACAACACCAAAGUCAUGAUCCAAAACCUUGACCUUAUCCUCAUCAUUAGAACUCUUUUUCCCCAGCCAUUCACACCAUAUUCUACUAAUCUCAUUUGAACCAUCCUUCUUCUCAUACAUCCUGGCAGCAAUCUGUCCAGAACCCACAAGCGUUGCUUUCAAAUCAGAAACUUCUUCUUUAAGGCGCACACUCGGAAUCACCAGAUCAGAACCCUCAUCACUACCACUUAAAUUCUCAUCAACAACCGUAUCACAACCAGGUUUAAGAUUUUC